CCCUACGGGGCGCAGCCGGAACACUCUGAUGACAGAAUUCAAUAUGAAGAAGCGAGAGUCCAGAACCUUACAUCAAUAGAAAUGAAGACGCUGAAGCUGGAAAUAAUGGAAUCAUUCAUAAACAAUGUGAUAUCAUCCGCUGCUUCAGAACUCAGGGCUGAUAGCCGGUACGGGAGUUUCCUGGAAGAAUGCAUCAACAGCGGGCUUAAAGAGGUGAAGGGGAUGAGUGCAACAGUGCUUAUAUCACCGGAGGAUCAUCAUCUUUAUGAAAAGCUUACGGAAGAAAUCAUCGGCUCGGGGUUUAAUGUGAAUUUUAAAAUACUGCCUGAUCCGCGUGCAGGAAUUGGCGGGGGGGC
RNAcentral lists this ribosomal RNA (356 nucleotides) under uncultured prokaryote. RNAcentral describes it as "partial 16S ribosomal RNA". The record is from RNAcentral.